UUAUGGUUGGAGAGAUGGCU
Molecule: unclassified non-coding RNA, 20 nt
Filed under: Mus musculus (house mouse)
Lineage: Eukaryota; Metazoa; Chordata; Mammalia; Rodentia; Muridae
Description: oocyte_clustered_small_RNA8321
Source: RNAcentral